AGAAUGAACGCUGGCGGCAUGGAUUAGGCAUGCAAGUCGUACGAGAAUCCUCUCUUCGGAGAGGAGGACAGUGGCGAAAGGGUGAGUAACACGUGAGUAUCUACCUCCAGGUCGGGAACAGCCCGCGGAAACGCGGAUUAAUGCCCGAUGGUCCCUUCGGGGUAAAGAGGAAUCGCCCGGAGACGAGCUCGCGGCCCAUCAGCUUGUUGGCGGGGUAACGGCCCACCAAGGCGACGACGGGUAGGUGGUCUGAGAGGAUGGUCACCCACACUGGGACUGAGAUACUGCCCAGACUCCUACGGGAGGCUGCAGUCGAGAAUCAUCCGCAAUGGGCGAAAGCCUGACGGUGCAAUGCCGCGUGGGGGAUGAAGGCCUUCGGGUCGUAAACCCCUGUCAGAGGGGACGAAAAACAUGACGGUACCCUCAGAGGAAGCCACGGCUAACUACGUGCCAGCAGCCGCGGUAAUACGUAGGUGGCGAGCGUUAUUCGGAUUUACUGGGCGUAAAGGGUCCGCAGGGGGUUUGCCGAGUCCGAUGUGAAAGUCCGCAGCUCAACUGCGGAACUGCGUCGGAUACUGGUGAACUUGAGUGCGCGAAGGGCGAGCGGAAUUCCAGGUGUAGCGGUGGAAUGCGUAGAUAUCUGGAGGAACACCGGCGGCGAAAGCGGCUCGCUGGCGCGCCACUGACCCUCAUGGACGAAAGCGUGGGGAGCGAACAGGAUUAGAUACCCUGGUAGUCCACGCUGUAAACGGUGCAGACUCGAUGCGGGGGGCGGUCCCCUCCGUGUCUAAGCCAACGCGUUAAGUCUGCCGCCUGGGGACUACGGCCGCAAGGCUAAAACUCAAAGGACUUUGACGGGGGCCCGCACAAGCGGUGGAGCAUGUGGCUUAAUUCGAGGCAACGCGAAGAACCUUACCCGGGCUUGACAUAUUCCGGACC
RNAcentral lists this ribosomal RNA (939 nucleotides) under uncultured organism. RNAcentral's name for it is "bacterial SSU rRNA". It matches the Rfam family "Bacterial small subunit ribosomal RNA", at positions 26 to 997 of the family's 1533-position model. The record is from RNAcentral.